This 253-nucleotide ribosomal RNA is filed under the name uncultured bacterium. Its description in RNAcentral is "partial 16S ribosomal RNA". It matches the Rfam family "Bacterial small subunit ribosomal RNA", at positions 524 to 776 of the family's 1533-position model. The record is from RNAcentral.
UACGUAGGCAGCAAGCGUUGUUCGGAGUUACUGGGCGUAAAGGGUGCGUAGGCGGCUCUGUAAGUAUGGUGUGAAAUCUCCCGGCUUAACUGGGAGGGUGCGCUAUAGACUGCGGGGCUCGAGUGUGGGAGAGGAAAGUGGAAUUCUUGGUGUAGCAGUGAAAUGCGUAGAUAUCAAGAGGAACACCAGUGGCGAAGGCGAGUCCCUGGACGAUACCUGACACUGAGGCACGAAAGCUAGGGGAGCAAACAGG